ACACAUGCAAGUCGAGGGGCAGCAUAAUGGAUAGCAAUAUCUAUGGUGGCGACCGGCGCACGGGUGCGUAACGCGUAUGCAACCUACCUUUAACAGGGGGAUAACACUGAGAAAUUGGUACUAAUACCCCAUAAUAUCAUAGAAGGCAUCUUUUAUGGUUGAAAAUUCCGAUGGUUAGAGAUGGGCAUGCGUUGUAUUAGCUAGUUGGUGGGGUAACGGCUCACCAAGGCGACGAUACAUAGGGGGACUGAGAGGUUAACCCCCCACACUGGUACUGAGACACGGACCAGACUCCUACGGGAGGCAGCAGUGAGGAAUAUUGGUCAAUGGACGCAAGUCCGAACCAGCCAUGCCGCGUGCAGGAUGACGGCUCUAUGAGUUGUAAACUGCUUUUGUACGAGGGUAAACGCAGAUACGUGUAUCUGUCUGAAAGUAUCGUACGAAUAAGGAUCGGCUAACUCCGUGCCAGCAGCCGCGGUAAUACGGAGGAUUCAAGCGUUAUCCGGAUUUAUUGGGUUUAAAGGGUGCGUAGGCGGUUUGAUAAGUUAGAGGUGAAAUUUCGGGGCUCAACCCUGAACGUGCCUCUAAUACUGUUGAGCUAGAGAGUAGUUGCGGUAGGCGGAAUGUAUGGUGUAGCGGUGAAAUGCUUAGAGAUCAUACAGAACACCGAUUGCGAAGGCAGCUUACCAAACUAUAUCUGACGUUGAGGCACGAAAGCGUGGGGAGCAAACAGGAUUAGAUACCCUGGUAGUCCACGCAGUAAACGAUGAUAACUCGUUGUCGGCGAUACACAGUCGGUGACUAAGCGAAAGCGAUAAGUUAUCCACCUGGGGAGUACGUUCGCAAGAAUGAA
RNAcentral lists this ribosomal RNA (853 nucleotides) under uncultured bacterium. RNAcentral describes it as "bacterial SSU rRNA". It matches the Rfam family "Bacterial small subunit ribosomal RNA", at positions 51 to 898 of the family's 1533-position model. The record is from RNAcentral.